UGGCGGACGGGUGAGUAAUGUCUGGGAAACUGCCCGAUGGAGGGGGGUAACUACUGGAAACGGUAGCUAAUACCGCAUAACGUCGCAAGACCAAAGAGGGGGACCUUCGGGCCUCUUGCCAUCGGAUGUGCCCAGAUGGGAUUAGCUAGUAGGUGGGUAAAGGCUCACCUAGGCGACGAUCCCUAGCUGGUCUGAGAGGAUGACCAGCCACACUGGAACUGAGACACGGUCCAG
Molecule: ribosomal RNA, 234 nt
Filed under: uncultured bacterium
Lineage: Bacteria
Description: partial 16S ribosomal RNA
Rfam family: Bacterial small subunit ribosomal RNA
Source: RNAcentral